RNA transcript from Cyanidioschyzon merolae strain 10D, 1489 nucleotides. RefSeq lists it as hypothetical. NCBI's taxonomy places the organism in Eukaryota, Rhodophyta, Bangiophyceae, Cyanidiales, Cyanidiaceae. The transcript has a single exon. The record is from RefSeq and is a predicted model, not a curated record.
AUCCGGAUCGAGACUGGCCUUCGGGCGAGCGAGCUUGCUGGCGUCGGUCGCAUGAGCGAGGUUCCUGAAACGGAAUCACUCGUCUUUCAGUGGUGGGUUUUGAUCAUACACCUAUGUCAUAUGAAAAUGGACAAGUGAGCUGCUCGCCGUGCUCCUUUCUUUCCAAAUUUUCAGCAGCUGUUUGAAUAUGAACAGCCCGUGCAAUCAAAGUGCAUCGAUGAGGGCUUGCGGUUUCUAUGUAGCUUCUGGGUUUCCAAUCGCCUUCCCUGAGAGGCUCCCUCGGCAAUUUUCCGCUGGCAUUCGUUCCAUCAUCAGAAUCAUGAUAAUUCGCACCGCUAUCAAACAUGGUUUCAUAAAUUGAUCGAUACCAGUAGCUUAUUCACAUGUAGAGGUCGCGACGUCUCUUUCUUGCUACAGGCUGGCAUGCCAGUUCCCGCAUUCUUUAGGUUCUCUAUGUUUCUGCUUCGCGGCAACACGUAGGUGCGGGCAACAUCAUCGCCGGGUUAGCAAGGGAAAAACUCGACGUCGUCAUCAGGCGAAUUGUUCACAAAUUCAUGCCGAGAGUUCAUUGAACUCGUCACGUCAUAUAAUCGAUUCCGUUCGAACGACGAGUACUCCUCUCUAUAUGCCCAUCAAUGAAACGGCAUUCCAGUGCAGCAUGUUCUCACUCGAGUAUAUGCCCCCAGAGGCUUCCUUCGCUUCUGUUUGCGUGGAAAAGGGUCUUGGACUCGUACUUGACGCUUCCGAGCGAUUCCUCUUGAUGAAGCGUGCUUCACCGCUCGGUACGAGUGGAGAACAGACGGAUCGAAUGUUCUCGAAUUGUUCUCUAGUCUGGAUGAUCCUAUAUGUAGUUGUUUCAUCAUGGACAGCAUGGCAUUCCACAAAUCCUGUAUCAAAUGAAACGGCGUAUGCGUACGCUUGCUGCAUCCGACGAACUCGCUGAGGUGAUUGCUCAGAAGAAGCCCAAAAUCUUAUUGUUCUGCACCGUGAGCGGAAAAGGAGCACGGAACUCGGGGCGCCUCCUGUACUCGUCAAGGGCAUGUGCCGAGUGAUGAAGCAAACGUCCAUGCACCACAGGGUUGCCCUCGAAGGAGAAGGUGUGGUGCACAUCUAGGAACACCUCACCAACGUCAAAUGUCAUCACCGACGGAGGCGCAACGAAGUUGCGUCCAAGGAAUAUGGCACCGACAAGCGAAGCGUAGAUCACAACUUUCGCCUGUGCAUGAAACGUGUCGACAGCGGUUGGAAGUCGCGAAACCUGAACUUGAACGAUGCCAUCCAUGUCGUUCAACUGCUCAGAAUAGAGCUGACGGAAAAGGAAAGCCUUACCUGGUUAAAGCCAGAGACAAGAGGGAAAAAAAGGAAGCUGUCGCUGAGAAACCCCGCAAUGGCUAGUAUUGAUGAUAGAGAGAAGAAACCGAAACUAUGCAUUGCUCGCCGACUUAGCGCUGUUGACCCUUUCUACGAUAUUCUGACAUGGGGGUAAAGU